Non-coding RNA from Dermatophagoides farinae (American house dust mite), 292 nucleotides. The record is from RefSeq and is a predicted model, not a curated record. Lineage: Eukaryota; Metazoa; Arthropoda; Arachnida; Sarcoptiformes; Pyroglyphidae.
CAGCACAGGUGUUUUUUUGUGUGUGUGUGUGUAAAUCAUUUUUUUUUCUGUCAUCAAAUUGAAUUUGAAUUCUUAGUUUGUUUCUCGUUUAAAGAGAAAGACGAAAUAGAUUUUUCACCAUCACACACAUCAAAUCAACUACGUCAAUUGAAUGUUGAAUUUAUUCACAAUCAUCAUCAUCGAGUGAUCAACCUCAAUAACGAUAACAGCAAUCAAAUAUAUUUCGUAAUUGAACCUGAUGCAAACAAACAAAAAAAAAUUAACCCGAAAAAAAUCGUAAAAAAAAAAUUUU